GUUAUUGGUUGUUGUUUGGUGUGUUCCGAAAUAAUAUUGUAUGUGCAGUGUUUAUUUCGUGCAAAUAAUUUUCUUUCCGAUGCCUUUAAUCCUAUACGCUAAAAUGUUUUUGUGGUUUGAUGUAUUAGCUUUGUAACAUAACUACACAAACACGCUCACGCUUUACCAAAUAUGCAUAUAAUCAGUAUAACGUAUAUGUCACUAAUCAUAUCUUUUUUUAAGUUAGCAUAUAUUUUAUAUACAUUUUGCAUGAGUUAUAACGCAUACUAUGAUAGGAAGAUAAUGGAGCUUAGUGUGUCUUUUACUCUAACGAUAUUUGACUUUAAUCUCGUUGUAAAGGUUUUGCAUUUUGUAAAGGUGAGUGUAAUGAGUAUCUAAAAACAGAAAUAUCUACCAUCUUUGUAAAGCUAAAAUGUUACAUCAUUGCCAUGCAAUGAGAAACCUGUCGAACAAAGACAAUCAUGAUGGAAACGUUAACAACUUUAGAUCAUUAUUGGACCUUCAACAAAUACCAAAACAUAGCAGGCCCAAAACUAAUAGAUAUUACACAAUGUAAACCUUAUGAUGCAAAUGCCAAUCAAUAAACGAUAAACAAAUAUGAUAAACAGCCACAAACUGCAAUCCUUAUAGGUUCCUGACUAGCACAUACACAAUAUGACGGGAUUAAACAUGUUUGCUGGAUCCAAAAAUGUCUUUUUACCUGGAACAGGGGUUGAUAAAAAUAAACUAUAAACAUGAGUUGAAAAGUGUUUAACUCAUUAGACCGAUUUAAAGCACUAACUGAUCUGAAAAAAACAUAAAGGACACACAUUACAUAUAUGAGAGUAAUUGAGACUGAUGAUUCAAGCCAAUAACGACCAAUACAAAGUCGUGAAACUAAGACCCAACAUCCAACUUUCAACAAAUGUAAUGUAAAUUCGUAAUUUUAAGUAAAAAAAACAUGGCCUUAUGCUAGGCUAAAAUUUAUUUAUCGACAGAUCGUAGAACCAUGAAUGUACGUAAGUCUAUAACAAUAAUAUUUAUUUAGGUUUUUAUUUAUGGAUAAAAACAUAUGUCAAUACAAAUUAAAAAAAAUAUGUCGACGUCAACACGAAUAAAAAAAAAGUCUCAGAAAGAGAGACGAAAGAUACCAGAGGGACAGCUAAACUCAUAAAUCGAAAAUAAACUGACAACGCCAUGGCUAAAAAUGAAAAAGACAAACAGGCAAACAAUAGUACACAUGACACAACAUCGAAAUCUAAUGAAUAGGCAACACGAACCCCACCGAAAACUAGGGCUGAUUUCGGUGCUCCGGAAGGGUAAGCAGAUCGUGUUCCACAUGUGGCACCCAUCGUUUUGCUUAUGUGAUAACAAAUCCGGUAAAUAGUCUAAUUUGGUAGGUCACAUUCAUGAAUCGGAAGGGGAUUGUAGUUACGUCGUAAGGAACAUAUCCGAUAUCAUUUGUGAAACGGUUAUUCCUUAACGGUCAACCAACUCGUGAUGGCGUCAGUAAAAUUUACGAAGGGAUGAUUUCAACUUCACCUUCAUAACUCUUGGUUUAAUAGCUUCCUUGUGAGCAGCAACAAUCUAUCAAGAAAAUCAUGAUAGGAAAUGCAAUUACGGGAAUAUCGUAUCGAUUAGGAGAUAUAUACCCCAUAUGCAGGACUUUUUAUAGAGUGUGAAAUAAGUUUAUUUAAAGAAUUGGUAAAUUUGAUUAAAGAAACGUAUCUUAACGUACAGUCUCGGUAAACGACAUAAGCACUUUCAUUCAUAUAUGUCUGUAUCUUCAGAAAUCAAUAUCUUUAUUGUGUAUCAUAAGAGACUUAGUCAUAUUAUUAUGUGUUAGAUGGUAACGUUAAUUGAACAUAAACUCUUUCUUAUUUUAUAUCACAAAAACACUGUGCAAUCAUAACCAAAGCUUUAAGGUUUAUGACCCCUUCUGUAGCCAUUUUUGUACAACAUUUUCAAACUUCAAAUGUAUCAAAACUACAGAUAUAAUGAAUAAUAGAGAUAGGCUAUUUUGUACAUAUACCGAGGGAAAACUUGAUGCAAAGAAUUAUUAUUUACUGUUUCAUUACAUUUAAUAGAAAAAUAAUACUUUGUUGCAAAUAAACCAAGACUUUUAUAGAAAAUCCACAGCUUUUAUUACAAAGAUUUGUGUUAUAAAAGUUGGAACAUAGGUUACUUACUUGCUUUUCUAUGAUGUGCUAAUGUGUUUAUUUUUUACAAAAAGUUAUAACCAACCUUUAAAUACCAAAAUACCUCGUGCUCAGUCACUAAAGUCGAGCGCACCCUAAAAGGUGUACUUGAUUUGGUCCAUAUUUUUAUUUGUUUUAACCAAUAACUACAAUAAUAAACUUGUUUUAAGGAAAUCAACGCUAGCACUACAUGCAAUAACUUAUAUUCAUCAGUCAUCAAAUCGCCAAAUAUGAGAGUACAAGGAUUAAGUCUUUGGAUUUUCUAUAAAAUUUCCAUAUGUUUAGCAUUGAAUCAACACAAGGGUACACAAUCCUUAAAUGAGUUCAGAGAAUACAAGUUGGACGUUGAUUGAAGCAAACUGAUAUUGUCAAUAAUUUGUUAUUUGAUUAUUUGUGUUUUACCUAUGUCAGUAAUUUUAUAUAUGCAUAUUGGUUUCAAAAUAAUUUGGUUUGAAAUGGUAGUAUUGUGCAUAACCCGAUGGGAAAUGUUCAAGUACACUGAUAAACUGAUGAUAAUGAUACAUAGGACAUCGACAGUUAAUCAAACCUUUAAUGGUAAGAACUACUAAUGAAUAAAAUGUAUUAUUGUACAUGUUCAAGUAGAUGAAAGCUAUGAAAUAAAAUAUGUGAAAACACACAAUUUUAAACUUGACACCCCUCCCCCUUUCAUACCUGCCAUAUAUUAAAUGGUAUGUCUCUUACGGAUCAUGCUGGAACAUUACAUGUGUGUCUCUUUUGUGAGGGACGGGGUCGUCAACCUUAAAUUAACAUUGAAGAGAUGUCAAAACCUAAUUGGAUCAAAAAGAAACCUUAACCAAAACAGGGAAUUAAUAAGUCUAGGAAUUAUAGCUAUAUAUGUCCAUGUGGGACAGGCUUCUCGUUUUUUGAAAUCAUUUAGAAAUGUUAUGAAAUCAAGUUAAAGUAAAAAAAAAAGAAAUCAGUAUCAAAAUAUUAAGCGUUCAUUAAAGUCUGACCAUUAAAACAAAAAUUCAAAUAUCAACACAUACAGAUAAUGAAAAAACAUUAUAACCAGUAAUAGACAAAUUACAAAUACCAUUCGUUAUCCUUUCAGGUUAGGUUUUUGCAGGUAAUUUACGAGUGCAAUAUUCAAAACCUUCCUUAAGGAUGCUUCUAAAAUAAUAAGGUGGAAUAAAUGAUUUACAGUCCAUGGCAACACCCCCAAAGAAUUAUGAUGUGUGUGAAGCGACAACAUUUUGGAUAGACAGUUGUUAUAUGUAUGGCAUAUAUCAAACUAUUGAACAAAAACGGCCAAAAUUAGAAUGCCUCAAAUUCGUUAAAAGCAACAUUUCACCGCAAGUAAAUACGAACGUCUAAAAUGGUGACUAUGAAAACAAAUGACUGCCACAAAUGUUAAAAAAAGAAUGGAAUUUUCAGAAUUAUUAUAAUAAAGUUUUUGAGCGUGUCUUUUUUAUUGUCCUGGUUUUCAAUUGCAUAAAACCGACAAAUUCGACAACACUUAUUUCUAUUUUGAUUUAAUGUUUUCGUUAAUUAUCAAAUAUUUUCUUAAAAUAAUGCAGAAAUUUACCCACAUGAUCUGACUUUUAACAUAUCAAAUAUCACCGGUAUUUACUUGCCUUUCCUAGAUUUAGAUAGUUCAGUUUUACAAGGUUAACCCAACACUAUAACAUUUACGACAACAGAGACGAUUUGUCGUUCCUUUUAGUUUAUUUUACUCGAACUAUGAUCUUCCAUUGACACUAUCUUGUGGUGUAUUUAUAUUACAACUCUUUCGCCAUUUAAUUGUAUG
Molecule: long non-coding RNA, 3945 nt
Filed under: Mytilus galloprovincialis (Mediterranean mussel)
Lineage: Eukaryota; Metazoa; Mollusca; Bivalvia; Mytilida; Mytilidae
Source: RNAcentral